GGAAAAAAUGGGUUCUUUGAUGAAGGAGGAAACGAUAGAAGAGGAAUCAAAGGAAGCAAUUUUGUAUGUUAAUGGAAUUCGUCGAGUGUUACCUGAUGGAUUAGCCCAUUUGACUCUUCUUGAAUAUCUUAGAGAAAUAGGCCUGACAGGCACCAAGCUAGGCUGCGGUGAAGGUGGGUGUGGGGCAUGCACUGUAAUGGUUUCUUUUUUUGAUCAGAAUCUGAAGAAAUGUGUGCACCAUGCAGUAAAUGCAUGCUUGGCUCCUCUAUAUUCUGUGGAAGGGAUGCAUGUCAUUACAGUGGAGGGAAUUGGGAACCGCAAAGCUGGGUUGCACCCAAUUCAGGAAUCGUUGGCUCGCUCGCAUGGUUCACAAUGUGGAUUCUGCACUCCUGGUUUCGUCAUGUCCAUGUAUGCAUUACUACGAUCAUCUAAAGAACAACCUACAGAAGAGCAAAUUGAAGAAAGCCUUGCUGGAAAUUUAUGUCGAUGUACUGGUUAUAGGCCAAUUGUUGACGCAUUUCGAGUAUUUGCAAAAACUAGUAAUGCUUUAUACACCAACACAUCUUUACAAGACAUUAAUGCUGGUGAAUUUAUCUGUCCUUCAACGGGUAAGCCUUGUUC
Molecule: unclassified non-coding RNA, 621 nt
Filed under: Hevea brasiliensis (rubber tree)
Lineage: Eukaryota; Viridiplantae; Streptophyta; Magnoliopsida; Malpighiales; Euphorbiaceae
Source: RNAcentral